Molecule: ribosomal RNA, 422 nt
Filed under: uncultured bacterium
Lineage: Bacteria
Description: partial 16S ribosomal RNA
Rfam family: Bacterial small subunit ribosomal RNA
Source: RNAcentral
UGGGGAAUAUUGCACAAUGGGCGCAAGCCUGAUGCAGCCAUGCCGCGUGUGUGAAGAAGGCCUUAGGGUUGUAAAGCACUUUCAGCGAGGAGGAAGGCAUCAUACUUAAUACGUGUGGUGAUUGACGUUACUCGCAGAAGAAGCACCGGCUAACUCCGUGCCAGCAGCCGCGGUAAUACGGAGGGUGCAAGCGUUAAUCGGAAUUACUGGGCGUAAAGCGCACGCAGGCGGUUUGUUAAGUCAGAUGUGAAAUCCCCGCGCUUAACGUGGGAACUGCAUUUGAAACUGGCAAGCUAGAGUCUUGUAGAGGGGGGUAGAAUUCCAGGUGUAGCGGUGAAAUGCGUAGAGAUCUGGAGGAAUACCGGUGGCGAAGGCGGCCCCCUGGACAAAGACUGACGCUCAGGUGCGAAAGCGUGGGGAGC